GUGAGGAAUUUUCCGCAAUGGACGAAAGCCUGACGGAGCAAUGCCGCGUGAAGGAUGAAGGCCUAUGGGUUGUAAACUUCUUUUCUCAGAAAAGAAUUAUGACGGUAUCUGAGGAAUAAGCAUCGGCUAACUCUGUGCCAGCAGCCGCGGUAAGACAGAGGAUGCAAGCGUUAUCCGGAAUGAUUGGGCGUAAAGCGUCUGUAGGUUGUUUAAAAAGUAUUCUGUCAAAGAUUAGGGCUUAACCCUAGAUAGGCAGAAUAAACUUUUAAGCUAGAGUUUGGUAGAGGCAGAGGGAAUUCCCGGUGGAGCGGUGAAAUGCGUAGAUAUCGGGAGGAACACCAAAGGCGAAGGCACUCUGCUGGGCCAAUACUGACACUGAGAGACGAAAGCGAGGGGAGCAAAUGGGAUUAGAUACCCGAGUAGUCC
Molecule: ribosomal RNA, 426 nt
Filed under: uncultured bacterium
Lineage: Bacteria
Description: partial 16S ribosomal RNA
Rfam family: Bacterial small subunit ribosomal RNA
Source: RNAcentral